AUCACCCUGGCUUCAGCUGCUUACUUCCCUUUAGACUUGCCAGAGAGUAUCCUAUAGCCUUCAGGGGUUGAGAUGAACAUCCUACUCUUCCCCAUGAGAGCUGAAUAUCAAAGAGCAGAGUACCUUUCAUGUACAAACAAAUUGCAGUGCCCAGGGCAAAGAGCUGAAAUGAUUGAACAGAAAUUCUGUGCCUGACAGCAGAUUGUGAGUGUAUUAAUCCACACCAUUUGUCUAUGUACGAUUUUCUCCUCCCAUCCUUGGGGAAACAGUACAGAAAACCUGUCCCAUGUACUGCAUCCCUUGUGCUUCGUCAUAAGCUCCAACAAUGUCUCAGCUGGAUAGUUUGGGUUUAUCCUUUUCUAUGAUUUCUUUCUUGAAUUAAACAAGAGUCAUGGGCUGAGGUGACAAACAUGAAGAUCUGGCUAUCUGAAGCUGCAAAAACAAACAACUGAGAGCUGUUACCAAGGAAGCUGGAGUCUGCAUUUUUCAGAAGCUGUAUUCAAAUUGAGUAAAAGAACUCUAAGAGGAUCAAUAACAAUUACUGUGGAGAAGAAUGAUCUAGUGCAUGCCUAGAAGGAUUUAUAGGGAUCUGUUGGUCAGAAGUGGAAUGUCAAGUUGGAGCUAUACUCUCUGGCUUACAAAGCUUUAAAAGCCAGUGAGAUUUCCUGAAAGACUGGAUGUGAGGACUGUGACAAGUCAAGAGAAUUGAGAAUUUUGUCUUGACUUGAAAAAUUCUGGGAUGAAUGGGAGAAGUUGUGGCGAUGGUGGAGAGGUUAGGAGUUAAAUUAAGGCUUCUUAAAUUUAAUACAAAUAGUUGGACAUGUGAUGCGUGACAUUAGAAUAGAGAAAAAGUAUCAGAUUUAGGCAAUAUACAGUAUUUAUGGUGUUAAUGGGAAGGACAUGUAAAUGCUAUAAAAAUUCUAGAAAGGUCCUCAGAUACUCAACAUUGAGUUUGGGAGAUGAGAAGAAACAGAAUAAAAGACAAAGUAAUAGCUGGUCCUUGGUGAAAGAAUAACUUACUGGAACACAAGAGUUUCAAGGGUUGAGGAAAAUAAUGUCACAAGCUGCUUACAGGACCAGGAGUAAGGGCCCAGGAGUAAGACCAUCUCUAGAUGUGUUAGUGAGAAAGUCACCUAAGCCUAUGAAGUAGCUAACUGAGGAAUCUCUGUCCUUAGGUGAACAUGGAGACUCACCAAAGAGUUUGCCAUCGAAAGUUAAUAAGAAGUUUUCCCAAAGUUUAAAGCUGAGGUGCUGAGAAUCUGUUACAAACAUGCUGAGAGCUGCCAUAGGCAUAUACAGCAGACAGGGUUUCUCUGUGGCUUUGGAGAAGAAAACAUUUUUUAUACUACCAAACAGUGGGCUGCAUGGUACGUCCAUAAAGAUCUAGACUUCUACCCAUUGCUGGAUCACAUGCAGUUAAUAUUCUACGUAUUUUUUUGUUCUGUGCAAAGAGGAAGAGACAUGUGCAUGAGAGUCAAUUGGCAGUUGUCAACAGUGUAUAUUACACUCUACCUUGGAAUGCAGCAUGGCUACAACCAAUAAGGAUCUACAAUCAUAUUUAUAAUAUGGACAGAAAACUUGAAAGAUUCAAAAAGAAAAAAAUCAAUCAAUGUCAACUUUGAGAACUAUAGAGACAAAAAUCAUCACCCUACUUUGCUGCUAUGAGUUCUAAACCAUUGAAAGAAUAAGCAGAAUUAAAGUUAAUGAUAUACAAUAUAUUAACUCUAUUACAGGAAAAUUAUCUUGGAGAGUUUACCUUUAUUUGUAGGCAUUAAGAAACCUCAGGACAAGAAGGGUUACCCAUUCAGGAAGAGGAAUACUUGAACUGCUAACAGUUCAGGGGCUUUGCCCUGUGGGGAUUUUUCCACUAUGAGAAGAAAGAGACAAGGUAUAUAACAUUGUAUGUUCAAAAAAACAUGAUAAUUUCUAAAGGUAAAAGGAAGAAAUUCCAAAGAACUUUAUUGCUUCUUAUUUUUCCAAUAAGAUACAUUAUUUCUUUGUUGAACAACUGUGUGGUACAGGGAGGGAGUCAGUAAUGAUACAUCAAUGAAACUCCUACCAUAUGAACAAAACAUCACGAAGAAAUAGAAUCCAUUUCUAGACUAUCAUCUUCCCCAACUUUUUGUUCCUGUACUGAAUUAGGCAAAGCCACUUCAUUGAUAAGUAUCCCAUAGUAUCAUCA
This 2182-nucleotide long non-coding RNA is filed under the name Cricetulus griseus (Chinese hamster). RNAcentral describes it as "lncRNA (ENSCGRG00015035388.1)". Lineage: Eukaryota; Metazoa; Chordata; Mammalia; Rodentia; Cricetidae. The record is from RNAcentral.